Molecule: ribosomal RNA, 434 nt
Filed under: uncultured Lachnospiraceae bacterium
Lineage: Bacteria; Bacillati; Bacillota; Clostridia; Lachnospirales; Lachnospiraceae
Description: partial 16S ribosomal RNA
Rfam family: Bacterial small subunit ribosomal RNA
Source: RNAcentral
ACGGGAGGCAGCAGUGGGGGAUAUUGCACAAUGGGGGAAACCCUGAUGCAGCGACGCCGCGUGAGUGAUGAAGUAUUUCGGUAUGUAAGGCUCUAUCAGCAGGGAAGAAAAUGGCGGUACCUGACUAAGAAGCUCCGGCUAAAUACGUGCCAGCAGCCGCGGUAAUACGUAUGGAGCAAGCGUUAUCCGGAUUUACUGGGUGUAAAGGGAGCGUAGACGGUUUGCCAAGUCUGAUGUGAAAGGUGGGGGCUCAACCCCCAAACUGCAUUGGAAACUGGUAGACUAGAGUGUCGGAGAGGUAAGUGGAAUUCCUAGUGUAGCGGUGAAAUGCGUAGAUAUUAGGAGGGACACCAGUGGCUAAGGCGGCUUACUGGACGAUAACUGACGUUGAGGCUCGAAAGCGUGGGGAGCAAACAGGAUUAGAUACCCUGGUA